GAAGAAUGAGCUGGGACCCAUGUUCCGAGUCCUGCUGGAACCAGAGACCAAGUCUAUGCAAGUCAGAAUCAACCUCCAUCUGCCUCCAUCCUUUAUGAGACCUAAGACGUGAUGCAGCUCCCAUGGGAAAUAUCAGUUGUGUCUCUACCAAGGAUGCAGAAAAAGACAAGAUAUCGGCCAGGUUUCUGAAGGCCUGCACUAGGGUACCUGCCUCCUUUUCGGAUAGACUGUAUUCCCUUUCCAUGUUUUAGCUGUACCUGUGACACAGGACACGAGAGAACGUGCUCAUGUGAACACAAGUGAAGGACACCGUGGGGACUUGCCACACAGGUUCAUCUCCUAGCCAGAAUCAAGAAAGGAAGACACAGCAGCCACACUGUUCCCACA
This is a long non-coding RNA of Prionailurus viverrinus (fishing cat), 387 nucleotides long. RefSeq lists it as uncharacterized. The transcript is spliced from 5 exons. The record is from RefSeq and is a predicted model, not a curated record. Lineage: Eukaryota; Metazoa; Chordata; Mammalia; Carnivora; Felidae.